AGCGCCCUGCCGUGUGCGUGGUGUUUGCUGUGGUCCUGGCUCAACACCUCAUUUCGGGAGGCCGAUCUCCUGUUUUGGGAUUGCGGCUCUUGAAGAGCUACAUAACCAAGCAGGGUAGGCCUCAACUUUUGGGAUGGGGCACAAGGACUCACACACCACGGCACGGCGGGGCUUUU
RNAcentral lists this non-coding RNA (176 nucleotides) under Dictyoglomus sp. Its description in RNAcentral is "6S RNA". It matches the Rfam family "6S / SsrS RNA". From Rfam's summary of the family: E. coli 6S RNA was the first non coding RNA to be sequenced, but its function was unknown until recently. It consists of 184 nucleotides that fold into an extended hairpin structure with a large single-stranded internal bulge. Lineage: Bacteria; Pseudomonadati; Dictyoglomota; Dictyoglomia; Dictyoglomales; Dictyoglomaceae. RNAcentral also lists the same sequence under 2 other names. The record is from RNAcentral.